GACGAACGCUGGCGGCGUGCUUAACACAUGCAAGUCGAACGGAAAGUCUUUGACUUUGUGGGGUGCUAGAGUGGCAAACGGGUGAGCAACACGUGAGUAACCUGGCCUUUAAUCUGGGCAAAAUUCAGGAAAAAGGGGCUAAUACCGGUUCGGAUAUCCCACUGCAUGGUGGGGGUUGGAAAGUUUCGGCGGUUGGGGAUGGACUCGCGGCUUCUGAGCUUGUUGGGGGGGUAGUGGCUUACCAUGGGUUGGACGGCUAGCCGGACUGAGAGGGUGACCGGCCACAUUGGGCCUGAGAAGCGACCCAGACGCCUACGUGAGGCAGCAGUGGAGGACAGAUCACAAUGGGCCGAGUCAGUGUGCAGCGACGCCGCAUGCGAGAAGACGGCUUUCGGGUAAUAAAACGCUUGCGCCUGGGACGAAGCGUGAGUGACGGUAAUGAAUAAAGAAGCACCGGCUAACUACGUG
RNAcentral lists this ribosomal RNA (468 nucleotides) under uncultured bacterium. Its description in RNAcentral is "partial 16S ribosomal RNA". It matches the Rfam family "Bacterial small subunit ribosomal RNA", at positions 28 to 507 of the family's 1533-position model. The record is from RNAcentral.